This 568-nucleotide ribosomal RNA is filed under the name Megalospora subtuberculosa. RNAcentral describes it as "eukaryotic LSU rRNA". It matches the Rfam family "Eukaryotic large subunit ribosomal RNA", at positions 196 to 782 of the family's 3401-position model. Lineage: Eukaryota; Fungi; Ascomycota; Lecanoromycetes; Teloschistales; Megalosporaceae. The record is from RNAcentral.
CGGGGCGUCAUAGAGGGUGAGAAUCCCGUCUGCGACCGGCGGUCAAGCCCAUGUGAAACCCCUUCGACGAGUCGAGUUGUUUGGGAAUGCAGCUCAAAAUGGGUGGUAAAUUUCAUCUAAAGCUAAAUACCGGCCAGAGACCGAUAGCGCACAAGUAGAGUGAUCGAAAGAUGAAAAGCACUUUGGAAAGAGAGUCAAACAGUACGUGAAAUUGUUGAAAGGGAAGCGCUUGCGACCAGACUUGCGUACGGGCGAUCAGCCGUCCUUCUGGGCGGUGCACUCGCCCGCGGGCAGGCCAGCAUCGGUUUCGGCGGCCGGAUAAAGACCUUGGGAAUGUGGCUCCUUCCGGGGAGUGUUAUAGUCCUCGGUGCAAUGCGGCCAGCCGGGACCGAGGACCGCGCUUCGGCUAGGAUGCUGGCGUAAUGGUCGUAAGCGGCCCGUCUUGAAACACGGACCAAGGAGUCUAACAUCUAUGCGAGUGUUUGGGUGUCAAACCCAUGCGCGUAAUGAAAGUGAACGGAGGUGGGAACCCGUCUGGGCGCACCAUCGACCGAUCCAGAUGUCUUCG